Long non-coding RNA from Mytilus trossulus (common blue mussel), 190 nucleotides. RefSeq lists it as uncharacterized. The transcript is spliced from 3 exons. NCBI's taxonomy places the organism in Eukaryota, Metazoa, Mollusca, Bivalvia, Mytilida, Mytilidae. The record is from RefSeq and is a predicted model, not a curated record.
ACAAGACUACCUUCACUUCCGGUUCAAUUACUUGAAGAUAUGAACCCAACGACGCUGGUUUUUGGAGAUAAUUUACUGCAAAAACUUCCAGAUGGUUUCUUCAAAGGACAAACAAGGCUAAUUACUCUACAAUUAGGAAACAAUCAGCUAAACUCACUUCAGGAAAACAGCUUUGAAGACUUAUUCAGCC